Molecule: long non-coding RNA, 721 nt
Organism: Grammomys surdaster
Lineage: Eukaryota; Metazoa; Chordata; Mammalia; Rodentia; Muridae
Exons: 4
Source: RefSeq, a predicted model, not a curated record
UCGGCGCCGCGGGGCGCGCGGUGAAGGCGGGGAGACCCCGGGGCGGCACGUGAUGGACAAGGCUUCGCGCCCCACCCCUGCGCUCUGCUCCCGCCGGCCUCGGCUAGUCCAAUCCAAGGCUUCGGCUGCACCACGGAGCAAAGCGAUUGGCUGCUGCCGCGAGGAGGGCAACCCAAAGAGGAAGUCUCAAAGGAUCUGAUUCAGUGGGAAGAUCCACCUUAAAUCUGGGCCAAAACUUUUGCUGGCAGCCUGACUAGAAUCUGGAAGGAGGAAGCACUUGCUGUUUUCCCUGCUUGCUCUUGCUUUUGCUGGCAACCUUGGAUUCCAAAAUAAACUGAAGAACAGCUAAGACAUCCAGCUUCAAGAGCUGAACAACUAAUGAAUUCUUGGACUCCACAGAGAUAGACAGCAAUUGUUGUACUAGCUGGACCACAGCCUAAUCUUUCUAUGUAACUCUGGUUGGUCUGGAACUCACUAUGUUGAACAAGGUGGCCUGGAACUUGUGAUUUUUACUUGAGUUUCCUAGGUGCUGGGAUUAUGGGCAUUCUCUACCAUACCUGUCUGUGAUUUAUAUAAUUACCAACCAUAUAAUUUAAAUUAUGUAACUAUAGCUUAUAAUUAUAUAAUUAUUGUUCUGUGGUCAUGGGGUUACAAUUAUUGCUAUAAAUCGUUAUUUCAAUACAGCCACUGGUUGGUUUGUCCUUAUUAAAGUUAACAAAAA